This 1431-nucleotide ribosomal RNA is filed under the name Lactiplantibacillus plantarum. Its description in RNAcentral is "bacterial SSU rRNA". It matches the Rfam family "Bacterial small subunit ribosomal RNA". The record is from RNAcentral. RNAcentral also lists the same sequence under 1 other name. Lineage: Bacteria; Bacillati; Bacillota; Bacilli; Lactobacillales; Lactobacillaceae.
GCAAGUCGAACGAACUCUGGUAUUGAUUGGUGCUUGCAUCAUGAUUUACAUUUGAGUGAGUGGCGAACUGGUGAGUAACACGUGGGAAACCUGCCCAGAAGCGGGGGAUAACACCUGGAAACAGAUGCUAAUACCGCAUAACAACUUGGACCGCAUGGUCCGAGUUUGAAAGAUGGCUUCGGCUAUCACUUUUGGAUGGUCCCGCGGCGUAUUAGCUAGAUGGUGGGGUAACGGCUCACCAUGGCAAUGAUACGUAGCCGACCUGAGAGGGUAAUCGGCCACAUUGGGACUGAGACACGGCCCAAACUCCUACGGGAGGCAGCAGUAGGGAAUCUUCCACAAUGGACGAAAGUCUGAUGGAGCAACGCCGCGUGAGUGAAGAAGGGUUUCGGCUCGUAAAACUCUGUUGUUAAAGAAGAACAUAUCUGAGAGUAACUGUUCAGGUAUUGACGGUAUUUAACCAGAAAGCCACGGCUAACUACGUGCCAGCAGCCGCGGUAAUACGUAGGUGGCAAGCGUUGUCCGGAUUUAUUGGGCGUAAAGCGAGCGCAGGCGGUUUUUUAAGUCUGAUGUGAAAGCCUUCGGCUCAACCGAAGAAGUGCAUCGGAAACUGGGAAACUUGAGUGCAGAAGAGGACAGUGGAACUCCAUGUGUAGCGGUGAAAUGCGUAGAUAUAUGGAAGAACACCAGUGGCGAAGGCGGCUGUCUGGUCUGUAACUGACGCUGAGGCUCGAAAGUAUGGGUAGCAAACAGGAUUAGAUACCCUGGUAGUCCAUACCGUAAACGAUGAAUGCUAAGUGUUGGAGGGUUUCCGCCCUUCAGUGCUGCAGCUAACGCAUUAAGCAUUCCGCCUGGGGAGUACGGCCGCAAGGCUGAAACUCAAAGGAAUUGACGGGGGCCCGCACAAGCGGUGGAGCAUGUGGUUUAAUUCGAAGCUACGCGAAGAACCUUACCAGGUCUUGACAUACUAUGCAAAUCUAAGAGAUUAGACGUUCCCUUCGGGGACAUGGAUACAGGUGGUGCAUGGUUGUCGUCAGCUCGUGUCGUGAGAUGUUGGGUUAAGUCCCGCAACGAGCGCAACCCUUAUUAUCAGUUGCCAGCAUUAAGUUGGGCACUCUGGUGAGACUGCCGGUGACAAACCGGAGGAAGGUGGGGAUGACGUCAAAUCAUCAUGCCCCUUAUGACCUGGGCUACACACGUGCUACAAUGGAUGGUACAACGAGUUGCGAACUCGCGAGAGUAAGCUAAUCUCUUAAAGCCAUUCUCAGUUCGGAUUGUAGGCUGCAACUCGCCUACAUGAAGUCGGAAUCGCUAGUAAUCGCGGAUCAGCAUGCCGCGGUGAAUACGUUCCCGGGCCUUGUACACACCGCCCGUCACACCAUGAGAGUUUGUAACACCCAAAGUCGGUGGGGUAACCUUUUAGGAACCAGC